GAUGAACGCUAGCGGCAGGCUUAAUACAUGCAAGUCGAGGGGCAGCAGCUCUGUAGCAAUACAGAGGCUGGCGACCGGCAAACGGGUGCGGAACACGUACACAACCUUCCUUUAAGUGGGGAAUAGCCCGGGGAAACCCGGACUUAAUACCCCGUAACAUUAUGGAAGUGGCAUCACUUUAUAAUUAUAGCUCAGGCGCUUAAUGAUGGGUGUGCGGCUGAUUAGAUAGUUGGCGGGGUAACGG
Molecule: ribosomal RNA, 244 nt
Filed under: uncultured bacterium
Lineage: Bacteria
Description: partial 16S ribosomal RNA
Rfam family: Bacterial small subunit ribosomal RNA
Source: RNAcentral